Biomphalaria glabrata is the source of this 698-nucleotide long non-coding RNA. RefSeq lists it as uncharacterized. NCBI's taxonomy places the organism in Eukaryota, Metazoa, Mollusca, Gastropoda, Planorbidae. The record is from RefSeq and is a predicted model, not a curated record. The transcript is spliced from 3 exons.
AGAAACAUGGUCAACUGGAGAAGGAGAAAACGGCACCUGCUGAGAGCAGUGUGGAUCACUUUGUGGGGAACACGCUCCAUGCAAUCUGUGACUCCCACUGACCGACCUCCACCUGCACUGAUCAACCGUGAACCUGUUUCUUUUCGGGACGAAAAGACUAAGGUGGGGGUAAUGUUGUAACCCUGCCUUGCACCAGUGCUUGAGGUGCGCACUAGCGCACUAGUGAACGUAAACAGGAAAACACUAGGAUAGAGAGAAUAACAGUGCAUCAGGGAUUGUGAGGAGUCUGAAUGUUUGAAAAACUAAGAAGCCAGCUUUUGGUGCUGCCUGAAGGUUGUAGAAGGGACCUGGAGCGAAGCGGGGAAGGCUGUCGUUGGUCCACAUUCGGGUUGCUGUCUAAAGGACUGAGAGGCUAUCCGAUCUUGGAAGAGACAUGCAAAGAAUGCUUGCCAUCAUUUCACUAUUUGCAUCUUCCCCUGUUCUUCUUCUCAAUGUUAUUAAAUUUCAAAACGAACGAGAAUGAAAAGGAAAUAACUGAUUGGCUUGCACCAGACGGAAGGUACUUUGAAAUCCAAUGCGCGGAAAGAAAGUUUUUAAAAGACAAUAAUUGUGAGUAUUAUGACGCUCCUUGGUGCGUCCAAUAUACGUCGGAACUUGGUUUUCAAUUACAAAAUGAAAGUGGCUUGUCUACCCUGACG